UACGUAGGGUGCGAGCGUUGUUCGGAAUUACUGGGCGUAAAGGGCUCGUAGGCGGCCAACUAAGUCAGACGUGAAAUCCCUCGGCUUAACCGGGGAACUGCGUCUGAUACUGGAUGGCUGGAGUUUGGGAGAGGGAUGCGGAAUUCCAGGUGUAGCGGUGAAAUGCGUAGAUAUCUGGAGGAACACCGGUGGCGAAGGCGGCAUCCUGGACCAAUACUGACGCUGAGGAGCGAAAGCCAGGGGAGCAAACGGG
Molecule: ribosomal RNA, 253 nt
Filed under: uncultured bacterium
Lineage: Bacteria
Description: partial 16S ribosomal RNA
Rfam family: Bacterial small subunit ribosomal RNA
Source: RNAcentral